RNAcentral lists this ribosomal RNA (346 nucleotides) under uncultured eukaryote. RNAcentral describes it as "SSU rRNA". It matches the Rfam family "Eukaryotic small subunit ribosomal RNA", at positions 594 to 945 of the family's 1831-position model. The record is from RNAcentral.
AUAGCGUAUAUUAAAGUUGUUGCAGUUAAAAAGCUCGUAGUUGAACUUCAGACCUGGCUGGACGGUCUGCCUAACGGUAUGUACUGUCUGGCUGGGCCUUACCUCUUGGUGAGCCGGCAUGCCCUUCAUUGGGUGUGUUGGGGAACCAGGACUUUUACCUUGAGAAAAUUAGAGUGUUCAAAGCAGGCUUAUGCUCGAAUACAUUAGCAUGGAAUAAUAAAAUAGGACGUGCGGUUCUAUUUUGUUGGUUUCUAGAGUCGCCGUAAUGAUUAAUAGGGAUAGUUGGGGGCAUUAGUAUUCAGUUGCUAGAGGUGAAAUUCUUGGAUUUACUGAAGACUAACUACUG